CGAAGCUGAAAAACAGGAAAUAGACAUAAGAUUUUAUGCAGUCCUUGGUGCGUUAUGUUUCACAUUACUUCUCAUUGGAGUGUAUGCUGUUUGCAAAAUCGUGCAAUGUAAAAGGAGGACAUGAUACGAAGGUGAAAAAUAUCGUCCCGAUGAUUCUCAUCCUUGCAUUAAAGACCCUUCAUUAAAAGUCAAUGAAGGUGGGAUUGUCAGUAAUGUAUAUCAAGAACUGGGAGAAAUGGGCCAGUCCUCAAUCUAUGAUCCUGUCGACUAGGAGAUAAUUAAACUUACCUAAGAUGUAUACAGUGUAUACCUAGAAUAUGGACAGUGAGUUGUGCACUCUCACUACAUCGUGGAUUCCAAAAUAUUGAUAGGCACCAAUAUGUUAUAUUUUAAUUUGCUAUGACAUCUGCAAUUUUACAAGAAACAUACACUGUGAUCAAUAUAUGCGAGCAUUUCUUUCGUACAGAUAACAAUAUGAUGAUAACAUUACCAUAUUUCAAAGAAGAUUAAGAUUGAUGUCAAUAUGUUUGAACCGCCAUGCCAGGAAGUAAGAAUGAUAAUGAUGUGAGAUAUGGCGAUUUUUAUAUUUAUCAAUGUUAUUUUGGAGUUAUCUUUUUUCCAUCGUAUAUCGUUGGAAAUUCAUGAUAAAUACCAUCUCGCUGUUUUCAGAACUCAAUGCCUCACUUUUUCGUCAGAUUGAAGCAUUAAAAUAGCUUUAUGUUUGGUAUGAAAUUAAUUUGAUAUCUACACAUUGCAAAAAUACUAUUAUUUACUACGAUAAUGAGUAAUGUAUUAAUAUUUUUAUAUCAUGUUAGUACAUUAUACUGCAUUGCGUUUUUAUAUUCUUAUAACCAUGGGAAUUGUAAAUGUUUUAGAAAUGUGACAGAAAGUUGUAUAAAAGCUAUAGCUAAGUUAGGUCUGAUAUGUUGGUACAUGCUAGAUAUACGAUGUUUUAUGUGCUUUUUGUAUUACUGUGAGAAUUGAAGACUCACAAUAGCCAAUUUUCGAUUUCGAAUUUCGCUUUUAUACUUCGGAAUUCAUUUAAUCCCUU
Ostrea edulis (European flat oyster) is the source of this 1051-nucleotide long non-coding RNA. RefSeq lists it as uncharacterized. The record is from RefSeq and is a predicted model, not a curated record. The transcript has 3 exons. Lineage: Eukaryota; Metazoa; Mollusca; Bivalvia; Ostreida; Ostreidae.